AAGGAGGGUGCAAGCGUUGUCCGGAUUUAUUGGGUUUAAAGGGUGCGUAGGUGGUUUGCUAAGUCUGGUUUGAAAGUCAGUGGCUUAACCAUUGAGGGAGGCUGGAUACUGGUGAACUUGAAUGUUCUGGAGGUAGGCGGAACGGGUUGUGUAGCGGUGAAAUGCAUAGAUAUGACCCAGAACACCGAUUGCGAAGGCAGCCUACUACGGGACGAUUGACACUGAUGCACGAGAGCAUGGGGAGCAAACAG
Molecule: ribosomal RNA, 251 nt
Filed under: uncultured prokaryote
Description: partial 16S rRNA
Rfam family: Bacterial small subunit ribosomal RNA
Source: RNAcentral